RNAcentral lists this ribosomal RNA (276 nucleotides) under uncultured bacterium. Its description in RNAcentral is "partial 16S ribosomal RNA". It matches the Rfam family "Bacterial small subunit ribosomal RNA", at positions 27 to 296 of the family's 1533-position model. The record is from RNAcentral.
GAAUCAACGCUGGCGGCGUGCCUAACACAUGCAAGUCGAACGGUAACCAGGCCCUUCGGGGUGCUGACGAGUGGCGGACGGGUGAGUUAAUGCUUAAGGAAUACUGCCUAGUAGUGGGGGAUAACCCGGGGAAACUCGGGCUAAUACCGCAUUACGCCCUACAGGGGAAAAGCGGGGGACUUUCGGGCCUCGCGCUAUUAGGAUGAGCCGUAAGUCCGAUUAGCUAGUUGGUACGGGUAAUGGCCUACCAAGGCGACGAUCGGUAGCUGGUCUGAG